Molecule: unclassified non-coding RNA, 207 nt
Filed under: rhizosphere metagenome
Description: partial ribosomal RNA internal transcribed spacer region
Source: RNAcentral
GUAGGUGAACCUGCGGAAGGAUCAUUAACAAAUUGUCCACACCCCACGUCUUGUGAACCGUUACCCCAUCCUUGGCGAGAAUCCUAGGCCGGGAGGUACAACCCUCUUAGCCCGGGGACUCGUCAUCUGUUUACGCAUUGAUUUAAACUGAGACUUAGACUUUAUUUUAAAUAAAGACAACUUUUAGCAACGGAUCUCUUGGCUCUC